CCACCGGGCGCUUUCAUCGCCUUUGUCAUUAUCACUGUCGUUAAGGUUUUGGUGAUAAUUGCCAUACCAGCAGCUUUUGUUGGAUAUCGAAGAAAAGGAAAACAUGCAAGUUUGGACACGGAAAAAACAGUGUACGAAAAUGUUCAGGUCAUAAGCGUGAACACCACUUAAGGAUCAGAAUUCAACCGAUGAUGCUGCAGCUCCU
Long non-coding RNA from Limanda limanda (common dab), 205 nucleotides. RefSeq lists it as uncharacterized. The record is from RefSeq and is a predicted model, not a curated record. NCBI's taxonomy places the organism in Eukaryota, Metazoa, Chordata, Actinopteri, Pleuronectiformes, Pleuronectidae. The transcript is spliced from 3 exons.